RNAcentral lists this long non-coding RNA (351 nucleotides) under Vulpes vulpes (red fox). Its description in RNAcentral is "lncRNA (ENSVVUG00000024213.1)". The record is from RNAcentral. Lineage: Eukaryota; Metazoa; Chordata; Mammalia; Carnivora; Canidae.
CUGGGCAAUUGGUGUCAUCAGAAUCCCAGACUGAGCUCAGAGGCAGGGCCAGAAAAUUCGAGGAGACACUGAGGGGCGGUAUAAGGCUGUACCCCAUGGCUCUUGUGGACGGGAAUAAGAAACAGCAGGAGAGUAUAGCGGAAGUAAUCUUCCAUGAAUUCCACAUCUGCAAAGAAAUAAAUUCUGUCAACAACCUGAAUAGGAGUUUGAAAGCAGAUUCUUCUCCAGUUGAGCCUCUGAUGAGACCUCAGUCCUGGCCAACACAUGGAUUACAGCCCAAUGAGACCCUGAAGCUAGGAACCAGAUUAGCUUUGCUCAGAUUUUUAACCUAGAGAAACUGUGAGAUAAUAA